Molecule: ribosomal RNA, 242 nt
Filed under: uncultured bacterium
Lineage: Bacteria
Description: partial 16S ribosomal RNA
Rfam family: Bacterial small subunit ribosomal RNA
Source: RNAcentral
UACGAAGGGGCUAGCGUUGUUCGGAUUUACUGGGCGUAAAGCGCACGUAGGCGGAUCGAUCAGUCAGGGUGAAAUCCCAGGGCUCAACCCUGGAACUGCCUUUGAUACUGUCGAUCUGGAGUAUGGAAGAGGUGAGUGGAAUUCCGAGUGUAGAGGUGAAAUUCGUAGAUAUUCGGAGGAACACCAGUGGCGAAGGCGGCUCACUGGUCCAUUACUGACGCUGAGGUGCGAAAGCGUGGGAG